CCUACGGGAGGCAGCAGUGAGGAAUAUUGGUCAAUGGCCGAGAGGCUGAACCAGCCAAGUCGCGUGAGGGAAGACGGCCCUACGGGUUGUAAACCUCUUUUGUCGGGGAGCAAAGAGAGUCACGUGUGACUCAUUGAGAGUACCCGAAGAAAAAGCAUCGGCAAACUCCGUGCCAGCAGCCGCGGUAAUACGGAGGGUGCGGGCGUUAACAGGAUUUAUUGGGUUAAAGGGGUGCGCAGGCGGCCUGUUAAGUCAGCGGGAAAAGCCCGGGGCUCAACCCCGGCGAGCCGUUGAAACUGGGGGGCUGGAGUCGGAGAGAAGUGCGCGGAAUGCGCUGUGUAGCGGUGAAAUGCUUAGAUAUGGCGCAGAACCCCGAUUGCGAAGGCAGCG
This 390-nucleotide ribosomal RNA is filed under the name uncultured bacterium. RNAcentral's name for it is "partial 16S ribosomal RNA". It matches the Rfam family "Bacterial small subunit ribosomal RNA", at positions 338 to 726 of the family's 1533-position model. The record is from RNAcentral.